Dromaius novaehollandiae (emu) is the source of this 4880-nucleotide long non-coding RNA. RefSeq lists it as uncharacterized. The record is from RefSeq and is a predicted model, not a curated record. The transcript is spliced from 5 exons. NCBI's taxonomy places the organism in Eukaryota, Metazoa, Chordata, Aves, Casuariiformes, Dromaiidae.
GGCGGAACUUAACGGCCUGAACCGAAGGGCGGGCGGAGAUUGCCGAACCGGCGACGGAGCUUGCCGAAGGGUGAAGGGGCGGGGACUAGAAACCCGAAGCAGACAAUAGCAAGGCCUGUGACCAUCUGUGGAUUUUACAAGUUUCAUGGAAUGUUUUCAGACCGCGCUCUUAACCUCAGACACUCCUAUCAGAUUUCAUAGGAUUCAAGCCCCAGGGUGCUGUAGGCGCUAAACAGUUUAGGCUCUGGCACGUCUAAUUUUCAUCCUUUCGGAGAAGAAGCAAGAAGAGCAGCAGCCCAACAGGUGCACAGGACACCUCGGGAACAGCCAAAACAGGUCAGACCAAAGGUCCUCUGCAGGUCAGAUGAAAGGUCCUCUCCUCUGUCACCAUCUCCAGCGAAUAUGCAGAGAAACGGUGCAAGCGCCACUGCCCAGAUCCUUCUCCUUAUGCACCUCCACGGCUCGGCUGGCUGGAGCUCAAGCAGACGCCGUACACCAGGUCCUCUCCGGCUCUGAGACCCUUGCGAUGAAGGUAAAUAAACUCCUAAUAAAUUGCUUCUCUGAAGCAUCCCUGUGGGCUCAGUCCCCCCACACCGGUGAGCACAGGACAAGGCGCAAGAGGGGGCCAACCCCGGCCCUGUGCCUGGCCCGCAGGGACGUCCCCACCACAGCCAAGGCCCCAAGGAGCCCCGAGAGCUCCUGCAAACCAGACCAGGCCUGGGGUUGACGGCCUCAACACUGGGUUCCUCGUCUCCAGGGCAUUCGUGUCUCAUCGAGCGCAAGCCUCGACUGAGCGCUCGGCCAGGCCGAGACACGCCGAAAGGCUCGCUCCAGCACGGCGUCCCCGGUGACUAAUAGCGCGUGACAUCAGCCGGUCCCGCUGGCACGGCGCUGCUGUGGGCUCACUGCUGGCUUGCACCAAGCAAAGCAGCUGCUCCGUAAGCCCGACGUUCCUGGGAAAGCAGGGCUUUCUCAUUUUUGGCGGUAAGAAAUCGCUGCAACGCCAGCCAAGUGAGAGAAAACACAUCGAGAGCGUCAGAAAUGCACAGCGUUGGCCCCGAUCCCACCGCCCACGUAUGCGGACAAACGCUUCGAUUCAGGCCCAGCACGUGCACCCCCCCGUAAUCCUCUGCAGAGCCAGGUUUAAAAUGCAAACAUGCUGACAUUUCCUCAUACUUUUACCAGCAACAGUAAUUCUCUAGCAAAUGCCCAGGCUCGGGGGAGCGGCGUUGGCAUGCUGCGGAGCCGCACGCUUGGACUUUCAACAUGACAGCAGAGACUUGGUGAAAACCCAGGACAGCACCCACAGAGCACAAAGUCAGCAGCAAUCAAGGCACCCUGGAGGUAUUUUUUACCGUAUUUAUAUAGGAUCAUCUAAAGGUUUGUCAGGACCGUAGCAAAACACGAUCUCUGCAAGGAGCUCAUGCGAGGCCAUAGCGCGCAGCCAGGCGCAGAGCACUGCAAAGGAGUAGCAGCAUUUAGUGCCUGCUGCGGGCGAUUUGGAGGUUGUUUCAUAGGUUUCUGAUUAUUUCAUUACUUUCUCCUUGCCCUUGCUAAAUAACAGUGUUUGUCUACCCUGCAACCAAAUGUGUGACUCCUCACCCCAACUCGCAGGGACAGAGCUGGCACAGCCACCCGAGCGCCCCGCGCCCGUCACAAGCCUUUUUGUGGCCCCUUGGCAUCGCUGGAGGCAAUUCCUCGUUCUGCCGCAUUCGCACAAACGUGGAGGGGGGAACGCUCCACUCUCCUGGCCCCGGGACACGCUUCCACCACUUCGCCAGGUCCGUCAAACAAAAGCCAGCGCCGCCUCCCGCCAGGCUCCCGCGGCGAGCUGGAUGUGCACCCUGCCACACCGGCCGUUUGGCUGGCAAGCAAAUUAUUCCAGUGCGAAACCACAGGGCCUGGAUCAGGGCUUCAAGCUCCCCAGUGAGCCCCCUGCUUCCAAUUCAGGACUGCUGGAGGCACGGACUAGCUGAACCACGAGCCGCACGGAGGUGCUCACCACGGUCACCUCGGUGGCCAGCUGGAAGCCUUAUUCUCCAAAAUGCCAAAUUCCCACUGUUUGUAGGUGCUGCCAUUUCCCAGACCAGCAGUGACCGUACACGAGAGCCUGGGGACCCACCAAAGCCUCCCCACAGACUUAAUAAAGAAAAAUGCUGCCUAAGGACUGCAAAUAGUUUUCUCCUUCCUGAAGGAGAGCAGGGAAAUGCAAGAGAUGAAGGAAGCAACCAUGAACCUUCAAUGACAAUUCAUCCAACAGCCACAAAAACCCUUUUUGGGAUGCACUGCCUGUCCGAGUGGUGAAAUCAAAGCUGCCCCAAAAACUGAUGGUAGCGACACAGGGGCAGAGGCUCCCUCACAUCCAUAUUUUGGCCGUACACUAUUGAUUCAAGUUCAUGGGCAGGAGUAAAGGUGGAAAGAGCCUGUUCCUACAGGCAUAUUUCUCCUCAAAAAUGGAGCAGGAUGUCACCAGGACACCAGGGGAACAAAUCAAAGCAACUGGCUACAUACAGCUUUACCAGCUAAAAACAUCCAACUUCGCUACAGGGAUGAUGACGUUUCCAUGCCCCCCCCCCCAACCCAGCUCAUGAAGACUGGUUUGAAGGACUCAAAAACCUUUCGGAGGAAAGAAAAGAUCACCUCUAACACACACAAAUGCCGGGAAAACCCUGAGUCCAUCACGGAUAAUUCGUGAGCACUGAUCAGCUGGAGGUCGCUCGCAGACAGCGAGGUGGCCGGCCGGAGAAAAAUCCCCACGCGCUUCUCCAUUCCCUCUUGCUGUUUCCAAUUUUGAUUCCUGUGCAUUUGUUUAUAUAGCAAUGUGAGUGUACGUACCAUAAAAAAAAAGAAAUCUGCGUGCUGGAAAUAUCAUGACUAACAUAUGGGAAUCCGCAGUGUGUAAAAAUCUUGCCUCCCCUCCGACAUAACAUCGUUUUGCAGGUGCUUUGUACACUGGCACCUCGGAUUCAUCUGUUUUCUUGUAAGACUGAGCACAUUUAACAAAUGACAUUGUUUUUAAGUCUCAGCUAUAGAUUCGGAGCUGGAAAGCAAAGAAGCCACAGCCUCCCCCGGCCCCAUAACUAGGGGGUCAGCGGGCUCACGUGCCCCCUCGUCUGUCUUGGAGAACAUCACGGCCCAACAUAGGAUUUCACCUAGGGCUUUCCUUCCUACGUGCAGCCCCCCCUUCUUUUUUUUAACUAAAACCUUGCUUUCCCCAGCAGCCCUGGUCUUUACCAUCCACUUGGACUGUGACGGACCACAGCUCCUCGACGGUCCCGUGCCUCGACCCUGCCAUGCCCGUAAAUAAACGGCGCCCGUCCUGCGUCCCUGGGACCGCAUGGGCUGCAAGGAGAAAGCUCCUGCUCCGCAUUUCCAUGCCCGCACCGGGAGCAUCUGCAUCACCGCAUAAAUGACAUGUAUCCACAUCUCCAGCCCAGGAGCAGGGAGCUCUCAGGUCCUGCGUUGCCAGCUCGGCUCCGGUGGGAGAGACGCGUGGCAGCGCACGGCGGGAGCAGACCGCAGCCCCGGGCCCGGCCGGAUCUGCAGCACCGCAAACGCAUGAGGGGAUGUCUCAGGGCUUUUUUUUUUUCCUGCAUACCCAGGGACAAAAAUAACCCCGGCUUCCUUCUUUUACAGCAUCCUUCUGAGCCGAGCGGCACCAAAUGUGACACCCGCACACAGCUCUGGGCAGCACGCGCAGCCCGGAGCGACGGGCUCGGCAGCCAGCAGACUUCCCACCGCAGCAGCGCCUCUGCUCCAAGCCCGGAGCUGCUCCCGCAGGAACGGGCUGCGGGAGUACCCCCGAGCCUCCCUCCCCGCACCAGCCAAGCCGGGGGGCAAAGGAGAAACACCGAAAUGAAGAGCACACGAAGGACAGAGAAAGAGCAGCUUCCUUAACCGCAGGCAAGCAGCGAGUCUUGCAGAAAGCAGCAGAAGUUUUUUGCUCAGCUACGGAGACAAGUUUGAAGGUGGAGGUUGCACAAGGAAGCAUUUGCAGCUGCAGGGAGCCCGAACUGCCCAGAGCAGGGUGGAAAACAAAGAAACCCAACCCCAACACGAGAAAAUCCAAGUUUAUUUGCUUUAGCCCCGCUUCCCUCCCUGGCACAGAAAUGUCUUUAACGCUGCUCUAUCUAGGGGCUUUAAUGCAAAACCAUGACUUUAAGCAACAAGCCAACCCCAAACACAGUUCCAGGUAGGAAGCAGUGAGCUGCAGAGUCACAAGCAUCUCCAAACCCAUCACUCCCGAAACCGGGCUCUGGGCAGAGCCGCUGGGCAGGGAAGCAGGGAAGAGGGAGACAGUGGGGCCGGCUGGCAGUGCCAGGACCCCGAAAGUGCUCCCGCUCUCCCCCCAAGCCGCAACCCCCGUCCCAGGACGAGGCGUCAGCGCAGAAGUGAUGGAGAGGUCCCAGGAAAGCAGCGGGGACGGGCAGCGUCGCGGUGCCUCACUGCAGCGCAUCCAAGGCCUCCGUCCCGCCUGCCCCAGGGCCUCCAUCCUGCUGCCCAGGAUUCCUCCUCGCAAAAGCUGCUUCAAAGCUGCCGGUUUUCCUCCCCUCCGCAAUCGCCCGCGGUGGGGAGGGUCUCCGGGGGGCAGCGGACCCCUCGCCCCCCCCUCGCAUUUACACCGCUGCCUUUACACUAAGUCUAAUCCACGUUGCGGAGCCGGAGAGGAGGCAGCGCUGCUCCGCAGCCACGGGCGCAAGUUCCGCUCAACUUGGGUCGGUUUCGCUAAAAAAAAACCCUUCCCCCGCCGGGGGGGCGCUUGGCCGGGUGGCGAUGCCUCCGCGCAGCCCCCAAGAGCCCCCGAGCCAGGCACCCCCCAGCCCCGCGGAGGAGGAAAAAGGGAAGGGGCAGAAAAAAUUAAAAAGGAAAAAAUACAUAUU